Molecule: transfer RNA, 77 nt
Filed under: Candidatus Peregrinibacteria bacterium
Lineage: Bacteria; Candidatus Peregrinibacteriota
Description: tRNA-Val
Rfam family: tRNA
About the family: Transfer RNA (tRNA) molecules are approximately 80 nucleotides in length. Their secondary structure includes four short double-helical elements and three loops (D, anti-codon, and T loops).
Source: RNAcentral
GGGCAAUUAGCUCAGUUGGUUAGAGCGUCACAUUGACAUUGUGAAGGUCACUGGUUCGAAUCCAGUAUUGCCCACCA